This 253-nucleotide ribosomal RNA is filed under the name uncultured bacterium. RNAcentral describes it as "partial 16S ribosomal RNA". It matches the Rfam family "Bacterial small subunit ribosomal RNA", at positions 524 to 776 of the family's 1533-position model. The record is from RNAcentral.
UACGAAGGGUGCAAGCGUUACUCGGAAUUACUGGGCGUAAAGCGUGCGUAGGUGGUUUGUUAAGUCUGUUGUGAAAGCCCCGGGCUCAACCUGGGAAUGGCAAUGGAUACUGGCAGGCUAGAGUGCGGUAGAGGGUAGUGGAAUUCCCGGUGUAGCGGUGAAAUGCGUAGAGAUCGAGAGGAACACCAGUGGCGAAGGCGGCUACCUGGACCAGCACUGACACUGAGGCACGAAAGCGUGGGGAGCAAACAGG